UAGGGAAUCUUCCGCAAUGGACGAAAGUCUGACGGAGCAACGCCGCGUGAGUGAAGAAGGAUUUCGGUUCGUAAAACUCUGUUGUUAGGGAAGAAAAAAUGUAUAGUAACUAUAUACAAAAGAGACGGUACCUAACCAGAAAGCCACGGCUAACUACGUGCCAGCAGCCGCGGUAAUACGUAGGUGGCAAGCGUUGUCCGGAAUUAUUGGGCGUAAAGCGCGCGCAGGUGGUUUAGAAAGUCUGAUUUGAAAGCCCACGGCUCAACCGUGGAGGGUCAUUGGAAACUAAUAAACUUGAGUGCAGGAGAGAAAAGUGGAAUUCCUAGUGUAGCGGUGAAAUGCGUAGAGAUUAGGAGGAACACCGGUGGCGAAAGCGGCUUUUUGGCCUGCAACUGACACUGAGGCGCGAAAGCGUGGGGAGCAAACAGG
Molecule: ribosomal RNA, 429 nt
Filed under: Verrucomicrobiota bacterium
Lineage: Bacteria; Pseudomonadati; Verrucomicrobiota
Description: Verrucomicrobia bacterium partial 16S ribosomal RNA
Rfam family: Bacterial small subunit ribosomal RNA
Source: RNAcentral